CAACCCUUAAGCCCCUGUUGCUUAGCGUUGGGAGCCUACUGGACACACCUCCUGUAGCUCCCCAAAGUCAGUGGCGGAGCCGGUUCGCACUCCAGACGUAGUAGCUUUUACACAUCGCCUGUAGCGCGGGCCCGGCCCCUUGCCGUAAAACACCCCAAUUUUUAUA
RNAcentral lists this unclassified non-coding RNA (166 nucleotides) under uncultured Nemania. RNAcentral's name for it is "partial internal transcribed spacer 2". Lineage: Eukaryota; Fungi; Ascomycota; Sordariomycetes; Xylariales; Xylariaceae. The record is from RNAcentral.